AGUUCAUUCUUCCUUGCUCUUAUCUUCUUCCACCUUUUUCCUCCGAAGUGCUUUAUCUGAUUGCUUUCACUUUUGCUUUUUCAUUCCCAUACCAAAGUGCUUUGCUUUACCUGAUUGGUUUCACUUUUGCAUUCUCAUUCACAUACCAAAUUUAGAAGCUCCUACGUUCCACCUUAUCCUCCAAAACCAAUCAACAUGGCAGAAUCACUCCUCUUUGGCGUGGCAGAGUCAUUCAUUGGAAAACUUGCAUCCGUUGCUGUUCAAGAAGCUUCUCUAUCCCUCAGCGUCUACAAGGAUCUUCAAGAAAUCAAAAAAACUGUCUCACUUGUCAAAGCCGUGUUGUUGGACGCUGAACAAAAGCAAUGGCAGAACAAUGAGCUACGUGAAUGGUUGAAACAGAUUAAGCGCGUCUUCUACGAUGCCGAAGAUGUUAUAGAUGAUUUCGAAUGUGAGGCCUUGCGAAAGCACGUCAUCAACACUUCAGGUAGCAUCAGAAGGAAGGUAAAAUGUUUCUUCUCAAAUUCUAAUCCUCUUGUUUAUCGCUUUCAAAUGGCACACCAAAUCAAACACAUCAAAGAGAGAUUUGAUAAGGUUGCUGCUGAUAGGCUUAAGUUUGGCCUUCAAAUCAAUGAUAGUGAUAAUCGUGUUGUAAAAAGGCGCGAAUUGACACAUUCAUAUGUGAUUGGUUCUGAUGUGAUAGGAAGGGAACAUGAUAAACAAAAAAUCAUUGAUAUGUUAUUGCAAGAUAGCGGUGAUAGUAAUAGUCUCUCUGUUAUUCCUGUUGUUGGAAUUGGAGGAUUAGGAAAGACUACACUUGCAAAGGCAGUGUUUAAUGAUAAGAGUUUAGAUGAGACUUUUCCAUUGAAGAUGUGGGUGUGUGUCUCUGAUGAUUUUGAACUUAAGAAUCUGCUUGUUAAAAUCCUCAAUGCAGCUAGUGUUAGUGGUUCUUCUGCUGAUCCUAACCCAAUUCACCAAGAGAGCUUUACAAACCUUGAUUUGGAGCAGCUACAAAAUCGUCUAAGGAACGUGAUUGCUGGUAAAAAGUUCUUACUCGUCUUGGACGAUGUAUGGAAUGAGGAUCGUGUCAAAUGGGUUGAGUUGAAGUAUUUAAUACAAGUAGGCGCUGAAGAAAGUAAAGUCUUGGUGACUACACGUAGCCACUCAAUUGCCAAAAUGAUGGGCACCAACACAUCAUACAUUUUGGAAGGUCUUUCUCUAGAGGAUUCCUUAUCUGUGUUUGUCAAAUGGGCUUUUAAAGAGGAAGAAGAGAAAAAAUAUCCAGAAUUGGUGGAGAUUGGGAAAGAAAUUGUACAAAAAUGUGGAGGGCUUCCUUUGGCCCUAAGAACAUUAGGGAGUUCUCUAUUCUUAAAAUUUGAUGUUGAAGAGUGGAAGUUUAUCAGAGACAGUGAGAUUUGGAAUUUACCACAAAAAGAAGAUGACAUUUUGCCUGGUCUCAAAUUAAGUUAUGAUCAGUUACCUUCUUAUUUAAAACAAUGUUUUGCUUGCUUCUCUCUCUUUGAAAAGAACUUUGAUUUUUCUAAUUUUCAUGUUAGUGUGCUAUGGGUGGCACUUGGUUUUCUUCCGCCACCAAGUAGGGGUAAAACCUUGGAAGAUAUGAACAUUCAGUUUGUGUACGAGCUUCAGUCUAGAUCAUUUCUUCAAAAUUUUAGAGACUUUGGUGGUGGUUUUUGUGGUUUUAAAUUGCAUGAUUUGGUGCAUGAUCUUUCAUUGUAUGUUGCAAGAGAUGAGUUUCAAUUGUUGAAAUUUCAUAAUGAAAAUAUACUCGAGAAUGUCCUUCAUCUGUCAUUUCUUAAAAAUGAUUUGCUUGGCCUAACGCCGGUUCCUACUGGCCUGAGAACCUUGAUAUUUCCUAAGGGAGCCAACAAUGAAGCUUUCUUGAAAACUUUGGUGUCAAGGUGCAAAUUCUUGCGUGUUUUACAGUUACCUGAUUCUACAUACGAGAGUUUGCCCCGCUCUAUUGGCAAAUUAAAACAUUUAAGAUAUCUCAAUCUUGGAAAAAGCAAAGAAUUGAAGAGCCUUCCUGACUCAUUGUGCAAACUCCAGAAUCUAUACACUUUGAAACUCAAUGGUUGCAUAAAGCUUAAAAAAUUACCCAAUGGAAUAGGAAAUUUGAUAAGCCUUCGGCAGCUAAUCAUAACUACAAAGCAAUAUACUUUACCAGAAAAAGAGAUUGCAAAGUUGACUUGUUUAGAAAUUUUAUCUGUCAAUUCUUGUGACAAUCUAGAGACGUUGUUGCUUGAAGGGAUACAACUUUCUAACCUAAAGUGGUUGGGUAUUUCUUCUUGUGGAAAUCUAAAGUCUAUGCCACUUCACGUUAUUCCCAACUUAGAGUGGUUGUUCAUUACUAAUUGCCAUAAGUUGAAAUUUUCAUUUCACAAUGAGAACCAAAUCCCAAAGUUAAAGCUGAAGUUGCUAAGUCUUGAAUCUUUGCCACAACUUGUGAGUUUUCCUGAAUGGUUGAAAGGAUGUGCCGACACAUUAAACACCUUGGUAAUUGAUGGCUGUGAAAAUCUUGAUGAGCUUCCUGAGUGGUUAUCAACUAUGAUUUGUUUCAAUAGAUUUGUAGUUAUAAAUUGCCCAAAAUUGCUUUCGCUCCCCGAUUGCUUUUCAAACCUUGAAAGUUUAUUAAUUGUAGAUUGUCCAGAAUUAUGUAGAAGAUACCAGCCUGAAGUCGGACAUGAUUGGCACAAGAUAUCACACAUCAAACAAGUGAAUGUUUUUUUCUUAAGGAGUCAAACAAGUGAAGGUUGAAUAAGACAGAAUUCCAAAAUUUAAAGGAAUUUACAAAUAUCACAAUCAAGGUUUAAAGGAUGGUGAAUUUGUGAUGCAAGUCAACAGAGGUUUGAAGUUGAAACUUAUUUUUUUUACCAAGUCAUUUGAGUGAGCUAUCAAGUCAUUUAAGUCAACUAUCAUUUUAAUUCAUAUUGAAAAUUUAUUUGGUAUAAUUUUAAGUGAAUCAUCUGAUUUGUAAUUUGAGAUUUGAAGUUGUAUGUGCUAAAGUUUGUAAUUUGGGAUUUAAUAUGCAAGUGUGUAUGAUAGUAUGCAAAGUGCAAGGAAAAUAGUGCAGUAGA
RNA transcript from Medicago truncatula (barrel medic), 3092 nucleotides. It is a transcript of the gene named putative disease resistance protein RGA3, with no coding region annotated. The record is from RefSeq and is a predicted model, not a curated record. The transcript is spliced from 2 exons. NCBI's taxonomy places the organism in Eukaryota, Viridiplantae, Streptophyta, Magnoliopsida, Fabales, Fabaceae.